GACGAACGCUGGCGGCGUGCUUAACACAUGCAAGUCGAACGGAAAGGCCCUGCUUUUGUGGGGUACUCGAGUGGCGUACGGGUGAGUAACACGUGAGUAACCUGCCCUUGACUUUGGGAUAACUUCAGGAAACUGGGGCUAAUACCGGAUAGGAGCUCCUGCUGCAUGGUGGGGGUUGGAAAGUUUCGGCGGUUGGGGAUGGACUCGCGGCUUAUCAGCUUGUUGGUGGGGUAGUGGCUUACCAAGGCUUUGACGGGUAGCCGGCCUGAGAGGGUGACCGGCCACAUUGGGACUGAGAUACGGCCCAGACUCCUACGGGAGGCAGCAGUGGGGAAUAUUGCACAAUGGGCGGAAGCCUGAUGCAGCAACGCCGCGUGCGGGAUGACGGCCUUCGGGUUGUAAACCGCUUUCGCCUGUGACGAAGCGUGAGUGACGGUAAUGGGUAAAGAAGCACCGGCUAACUACGUG
RNAcentral lists this ribosomal RNA (468 nucleotides) under uncultured bacterium. RNAcentral's name for it is "partial 16S ribosomal RNA". It matches the Rfam family "Bacterial small subunit ribosomal RNA", at positions 28 to 507 of the family's 1533-position model. The record is from RNAcentral.